CGUCCAGUUGCAUGAAGGUUUUGAGGGUUUACCAUGUUCACACAUGACAGUAAGUCAUCUUGGGCAGGCGGAAGCAAGGAUUGCAUUUGUGUUGGCACGUUAGCUGUAUCUGCCUGACAGGAAAUCUAAAACUACUUUUACUGCGCCAGUCAGACAUAACAAAAAAACCAUUUUAGUGGGAUGGAAUGACAGUUAUGCCACCCUAACUAGAGGACGCUAACCGGCUAAUAGACGUCGGCCCUAUGGAUUACUAACUCUGCUCAACUGCAUGAGCAGGAGCUGGAGCCGUCUCGUUUGCGCUCUUAUCUGCUUUGCAAUGCAAAUUGCUACAAGCAGAGAAUUGCGGCAGCUGGAGUUGAUGCUUUCCGACAUUGCGGAUCUCUGUGGUGAAGGGGUGCGACCGGCUCUGGCCCGUGAAUGUGAUGCCCGUUUGAUCAGCUUAUGCGAGGUGGAUCUUUGUCUUAUGCCGUUUAGGCUGGUGGCUAACACGCUCACAUAACUGGCAACUAGACAGUGGUCAUUGGCGCAACUUGAGUUGCCGUCUAAAUAAGCCUUGGCCUUGAUGUUAUUAUGCCUUUCAAUGUUUGCGGUGGCAUACGCAAAUGGUAUUCCCCAGCCUUCAUUUAUGGACGCGGAAUGGCUUCCUUAGCCUGCCUUUGUAACUAUUUCCCCAUCCUCCUGCAUGAGCCCUCGUCUACCGGCCCCGGUUAUUUUGAGGACUCCUUUCACAGCUAAUGAGGGUUCUUGGGGUGGGCUUGGGCCUGAGCUCGGUGUAGAUGCUCCAAGGGUGGGCAAACUGGCCCCUUUUCCCCCCAUUGAUUGUACCUCGUAUCAGUCCUCUAGGGGCUAAAGCAUCCCUUAGG
Molecule: long non-coding RNA, 863 nt
Filed under: Volvox carteri
Lineage: Eukaryota; Viridiplantae; Chlorophyta; Chlorophyceae; Chlamydomonadales; Volvocaceae
Description: long non-coding RNA (VCAR_LNC000724)
Source: RNAcentral